UAUAAUAUUUUUUUAACUACGGUCCUGUGACCCUAAUCUUCAACAUAGUUCCGCCCUUGCCUGUACAUUUUAAUUAUUUU
This 80-nucleotide small RNA is filed under the name Arabidopsis thaliana (thale cress). Its description in RNAcentral is "ATSL299750". The record is from RNAcentral. Lineage: Eukaryota; Viridiplantae; Streptophyta; Magnoliopsida; Brassicales; Brassicaceae.